RNAcentral lists this ribosomal RNA (376 nucleotides) under uncultured bacterium. RNAcentral's name for it is "partial 16S ribosomal RNA". It matches the Rfam family "Bacterial small subunit ribosomal RNA", at positions 338 to 729 of the family's 1533-position model. The record is from RNAcentral.
CCUACGGGUGGCAGCAGUGGGGAAUAUUGGGCAAUGGGCGCAAGUCUGACCCAGCAACGCCGCGUGAAGGAAGAAGGCUCUCGGGGUGUAAACUUCCUUUUAGAGGGGAGAGCAGAAGACGGUACCUCUUGAAUAGGCCACAGCUAACUAAGUGCGAGCAGCCGCGGUAAUACGUAGGUCGCAAGCGUUGUCCGGAUUUACUGGGUGUAAAGGGCGUGCAGCCGGGAAGGGAAGUCAGAUGUGAAAUGUCGGGGCUCAACCGCGGAACUGCAUUUGAAACUGUUGUUCUUGAGUAUAGAUGCGGUAAGCGGAAUUUCUUGUGUAGCGGUGAAAUGCGUAGAUAUAAGGCAGAACACCGGUGGCGAAGGCGGCUGAC